AGAAUCAAUAAUUCUACUAGUUGUUGCAUAUAUUCCUGUUGCAUAUAGCAUGGCAUCAUUGCAGUUGUGAGGCAAAGCAAGGUAAAGUUAGUUGCAUGUUUAUGAUAUAUAUAUCUAUCUGUUUAUUGGACUAACUUGUAUUUGCCUCCCUUGGACCUGUUGGUCGAGCUCCUCCCUUGGGUGGCCGUACCCACUGGGAACCAUGGAGUUGGUUCUCACCCCACGUUGUUUUGGGGUUUUACAGGUUCGCACGUGAGCGGCGCGGCGGCGCGAGGCAAGGGCGUAGCUCCAUAGAUAGCGCCCUACCCCCAGAGACCAGAGCUAGCAGUACCCCGUCGGCGUAGCUUAGGGGUAUAGAAAAUGAAAGGAAUAAAAUGUAUUAAACUUGUAAUAGCUUAGAUUGUAUUUGGAAGUUAAAUGUAGUAUAAAGUGUGAUAUAAGUAAAUGAAUCUAAUGUGAAUGUUGUAAUAACAUAGGAUAUGUUAUGUUGUUUGAUACUUCCUUACGCAAUCAUGAUUGAUAUCUGUUCCUGGUUGGGACCAUUGUAAUGUACAUUGUUUGGAUUGCGACGCCUAGAACGUACAGGGGAGACUCUGUCCGCGUACAGGGGAAACCCCGGUCCGUUCGGCGGUCUGUCGGCGUGCCCGAACCGGACCAAAUUGGGAGCGGUCUCGGGGCGUGACACUCAUCACCUGUACAUUUUCAAUCAUGAAGUGCACUAGCGAAAAUAUAUUCAAACGGCUUACACGAGUGUAAGCAAUAGCCAUUAGUGAGAGAAAGGAAACUAACAUUCAAUUUGUACUAUGAUUCAAUUUAGAUCAUAUACAUUGCUUACAUAGUUCUUUACAUACUUUUCAUCAUUUCUUUUUACAUCACAUUGCCUCAAAAUAAAACUUUACAUUCUUUUUCUUUACUUUAAACAUCUUCGAGUACAAAAGAUGAAGUAAGGGAACGCUACUACAAAAUGUAAACCCAACUCUGGUGGCCUCUGACUAAGGUGCGAUAACUUUACCGCGGUCGCUCGCCAGCUCACUCGGUCCCGGCUUUGUGGAAUAGUGGGGUGAGAACUACAACAAAGUUCCCAGUGGGUUCGGCCCCAAUCUCACCGACUUUUCCACUAGGACUAACUCAGGCAUAAUAGAAAGGAUAAGCAGAAAUAUAGUAACCAAUCUGUAACUUGAUGCUAAUAUGCCUGAACAAUAAAGUAAGGAGUAUGCUCAACAUAAAACUCAUGUAGAUUAUGCAAGUUCUUUUGUUCUUUCUCUUUACUCUUUAAGCUUUGUUCUUUGUUCUUGUUCUUUAAUCUCAUGGCUAACCCGGGGGUUUCGCCACAUUAACUUGCCCACAUUAAGUACAUCAACACGGGCCCUCAGCUGCCUCUCGCUAAGACCGUCUUCGGGUUUACUCCAACCCGUGAUGCAAAAACUCCGGAGCGCAUCGCCCGAGGGGGAGCGACCGCCCUCGAGCAUGGAACUCAUAGCAAGUAUGAUUGAAUCCUUAACUCUAUGGAUUUUAAAUUUAAUCAUGUCAUUACACUAACUCUAGUGUUCUUUUCAUCACUUUAUGUUGCUAACUCUAGCAAUCAUUGUUCUUUGCUCUUUACUUGUUCUUUAUGCCAAACUUUGCAUUAACUUUAACCAUUAUCAUUGUUCUUUACAUUACUUUACAUUAACUUUAAUCAUUAUCAUCACUCUUUACAUCACAUUGAUCCUUUGCCUCACACUAACUCUAGUGUCACUUUACUUUACAUUAUCGAAUGCCACUCGAUCUAUGUCUCAUUGUGUCACUCUAUUCUUUUGCCUCACUUUGAUGCUCACAUUAUAUCUCAUGCAUACAUGUAGGGUUAAACAUUCAUAGGAGUUCUCGACCAUCUCAUUAGGCAAAUUGUACUCACAAUAUGCAAUAUCACAUCAUUCUCAUUACAUAUACCCUAUGAUGCAUGCAACAAUGUAUACAACAUAUGCUCAAUUGAAUGACCCAUUAGGCAUAGAAGGAAGUUCAAUGAGUUUGGAUAGCACCACCUACCUCGUAGGUUCUCAAAGGUGCUCUGACGAUUUUCUUGGAAUUUUUAGACUCCUCGUUCUUCACCUGCGACAAAACGAAGCCAACUUAGGCCAUUUUGCCCAUAACUUUUUAUAGACUUUUCGUAACGUUAAUCCGAGCGCACCAACGCGUCGGAAAUACUCCGAAUUAGGUUUCUAGAGGGUCAAUUUCACUUUGAAACCCUCGCAAGCAAAAGCCCCAAUUUGUGUGCCCUAGCUCAUAACAUAUAUCAAACCUAGGGUUUGAUCUCAUUGGGAAGCAAAAGAAGCUUCAAUCUACUCUAGGAAGUCCAUUAAAACCAUUCUUUGUUUAACCCAAACCCUAGUUUGGAUCCUACCAUGAGAGGGGUAAAAGCUCACUUUCAAGCUCCACCUCUACACUCAAUCCAUGGUUUCAAUCUCAAAAGAAGCAAAAGAAAGCUUCAAAGGCUCAAAAGGUUUUAUCAAAACCCAAUUCUAAGCUUAUCCAAACCCUAGUUUGGGAUUUACCAUGAAAAUGGCAAAGCUUACCUCUAAGCUUGCUCCUUUCUUGCACUAGAGGGGAAGAAGAAGAAGUCACCCCACUCCAAUGGCUUCUUCUCCACCUUCCUUGCCUUUCUUUUUCCUUUCCUUCUCCUUCUUCUUCUCUUUCUUUCCUUUCCUUUCUUCUCUUCUUUAUCUUCUAGAGAGAGAAAGAGAGAUGAGAGAGUGUGAGAGGGAGUGAAAUGAGAGAAGUAUCUCAUUUUCCCCCAUACUAUACCCUAUGGGUUGCAAAAUUGUAGUUAAACCCCUCAACUUUCAUCUUGUUACACUGCCCGAACUGGGCAUUUUUCGUGCUCGGGGACGGGUCUCCCCGACUUGGGACCGGUCCCAGAGAGCUCUCCCCGCGGGCAGCCAAGGCUACGCGUGACGCAACCGGUUUCUCCCCCAGAGGGACCGGUCUCUCGGAGACCGGUCUCUCCCUGCAGGGACCGGUUCCGAAGAGCUGGUUUUCUGGAACUUAGCCGAUUUUUCGGCUUUCUCACGUUGCACAUGUUCGGGGACCGGUCUCUCCCACCAGGGACCGGUCCCCGAGAGCUCAAAAACUGCAGUUUGCAGAUUUUUGAUUCUUUAGCUCUCGAAAACCUCCCACAACGAACUUUUGACCAUUUUAACACCUUCGGACUUUCCGAAGUGUACCAUCCUCACACUUUGGUCAAUUUGACUAAUGUUUGAUAUUUAUUUUUUGAAUUUUCGGUAUAUUACAUUCUCCACCCCUUAAAAUAAUUUCGUCCGCGAAAUUACGCAUACCUUAACUCGUCGAUUCAAAUAAAUAGGGAUACUCUCUCCGCAUGGCCUCCUCAAGCUCCCAAGUGGCUUCUCGCACAGCAUGGUUGCUCCAUUGGACCUUCACAUAAGGAAUUCUGCGACUCCGUAGCUUUCUUUCUUCUCUAUCGAGGAUGCACACCGGGUACUCCUCAUAAGACAUAUCUUCACAUAGCUCUACGGGCUCAUACUCCAAUACAUGUGUCGAAUUGCGAAUGUACUUUCGGAGAUUUGACACAUGAAACACGUUGUGAACUCCUGUGAGUCUUGGUGGUAGUGCGAGCUUAUACGCUACCGCACCCACACGCUCUAGUAUCUCAAAUGGCCGAACAUAACGGAGACUUAACUUCCCACGGACCCCAAAACGUUUAACUCCUCGCAUCGGUGAUACUCUCAAAAAUACGCGGUCUCCAACCACGAACUCUAAAUCCUUUCUUCGCUUGUCGGCAUAACUCUUUUGCCGAGAUUGCGCUGUCGCUAACCGUUGACGCGCAAGACGAACCUUUUCUUCCGCCUCCCGUACCACAUCUGGGCCAAGAGCCGUUCUCUCGCCCACGUCGCUCCAAUGGAUAGGAGAACGAUACUUUCGACCAUAUAGUGCCUCAAAUGGCGCCAUUGCUAUGCUCUCUUGAUAACUAUUAUUAUAGGCGAACUCCGCCAUUAGCAAGAAAUCAUGCCAUCCUCCUUUGUAAUCUAGUACACACGCUCGAAGCAAGUCGUCGAGGAUCUGUAUUGUCCGCUCUGACUGUCCAUCACUCUGAGGAUGAAAUGCUGUGCUAAAGUCGAGCCGUGUGCCCAACGCAUCUUGCAAGCUCUUCCAAAAGUGGGAUGUGAACCUGGGAUCUCGAUCCGAUACAAUUGAUACCGAAACCCCAUGAAGUCUCACAAUCUCGUCGAGAUAAACUUGAGCUAACUUGUCUCCCGACCACGUAGUAUGUAUCGGCAAGAAGUGUGCCGAUUUUGUCAAUCGAUCCACUAUCACUCAUAUCGCAUCGUGUCCGCCUUAUGACCGAGGCAAACCGGUAAUAAAGUCCAUCGCUAUAUCUUCCUAUUUCCACACUGGUAUAGAUAGACUUUGUAGCUUUCUCGCCAGAAACCGACGCUCUGCUUUUACCUGGUGGCACGUUAGACAUUGCGCCACGAACUCUCCAAUAUCUCUCUUCAUACCCGGCCACCAAUAGUGCUCUUUCAAAUCCUUGUACAUUUUAGUGCCGUCGGGGUGUAUGCUAUGAGGAGAUUGGUCCGCUUCUUGCAUAAUCGCCCUUCGAACAUCAUCAUCUUUAAGCACACACCAUCAAUUUCGAAAUCGAAGUGCGCCGUUAGCUCCAAUGCCAAAAUCUUCGGCACUACCAUUCUCAACUUCACUCAGCACCUUUUGAAGAUAAGGAUCCGAGGCUUAGAGAUCCUUGAUUCUUUCCAAUAGGGUCGGUUGCACAACUAAUGCAGCAAGUGUAGCCGGCACUCCCGGCUCUACAACUUCCAACCCAAGCCUUUGCAUCUCCUUUUGCAGUAGCGGUUGAGGCGUAAUUGCCAUCGCUAAGUUCUCCGCCGAUUUUUUACUUAGAGCAUCGGCCACGACAUUGGCUUUCCCGGGGUGGUAUAGUAUAGUGACAUCGUAGUCCUUCAACAACUCCAACCACCGCUGCUGCCGCAUGUUCAAUUCCUUCUGGGUGAACAAGUACUUUAGACUUUUAUGAUCUGUGUAGACCUCGCAAUGCUCACCAUACAAGUAGUGCCUCCAAAGCUUUAGAGCGAAAAUUAUCGCGGCUAACUCGAGGUCGUGAAUCGGGUAGUUCUUCUCAUAACUCUUUAGUUGGUGCGAUGAAUAUGCAAUGACUCGCCCAUUUUGCAUUAGUACACACCCGAGACCAACAUAAGAGGCAUCACUGUAGACUACAAAAGUCUCCCCCGAAGUCAGCAAGGCAAGCACCGAGGUCGACGUCAAUCUGUUCUUUAACUCCUCAAAGCUCCGAUCACAAUUGUCGCUCCAAACACACUUUACUCCUUUAUGCGUGAGGCACGUUAGUGGAGUGGUUAUUUUGGCGAACCCCUCUACGAACCGUCGGUAGUAGCUCGCAAGUCCAAGAAAACUGCGGACCUCCGCCACAUUCGUCGGGCGAGGCCAAUCCUUUAUUGCCUCUACAUUCUUCGUGUCUACCGACACUCCGUCGCCCGAUACCACAUGACCCAAAAAUGUGACCUCCUUUAGCCAAAAGUCACACUUCUUUAACUUCGCAUAGAGCUUCUCCUGCCUGAGUAUCUGCAAUACAGCUCUCAGAUGCUCUUCGUGCUCCUCUUCACUUUUUGAGUAAACCAAUACGUCGUCCAUAAACACCACGACACAUCGAUCCAAUAACGGCCUGAAGACUCGAUUCAUCAAGUUCAUAAAUGCUGCCGGGGUGUUAGUAAGCCCAAAUGGCAUUACCGUGAACUCAUAAUGGCCAUACCGCGUACGGUACCCCGUUUUGUUCACAUCUUUCGGUCUAAUCUUUAGUUGAUGAUACCCCGAUUGGAGAUCAAUCUUCGAAUACACCUUGGAACCUUGCAACUGAUCGAAUAAAUUGUCAAUCCUUGGCAACGGGUACUUGUUCUUUAUCGUUACUUUGUUCAACUCGCGAUAGUCAACGCAGAGUCGAAGUGUGCCAUCCUUUUUCUUCACAAAUAGCACCGGAGCUCCCCACGGUGACACGCUCGGCCUCACGAAGCCUUUAUCGAGCAAGUCUUGUAGUUGGCCUUUUAGCUCUUUUAACUCCACCGGUGCCAUUCUAUACGGAGCCUUCGAAACUGGUUCCGCCCCGGAAAUCAAGUCAAUGACGAACUCAACUUUCCGGUCCGGUGGCAGUCCCGGUAACUCCGUCGGAAAUACAUCCGGGUACUCGCAGGCUACUCGAAUAUCCCACAACUUUGGGUACUCCUUUCGAGCAUCCACUAUGAUUUCCAAAUAGGCCUUACACCCUCCUUUGAUCAUCCUCUUUGCCCUUACAGACGAUAUGGUCGCCGCGAAGCGCCUACUUUUGCACGCUUGGUAGACCAACUCUUCUUGAUUAGGCUCACGAAAAGUGAUCACCUUGCUUUCACAAUCUAUAACCGCAUAAUAUUUGGAGAGCCAGUAGGUCCCCAAGAUAACAUUGAAUCCCCACAUCUGAUCUAGCACUAGUAGAUCAAUCGACAUAAUCCAAUCGCCUAUUUGCACUGGACACGCCAAACAUUCAUUGUGGACACUGAAUGAAUGUUCUGGGGCGUUCACCCACCAGUAAUCCUUAUUGUAUACCAUCUCUAUACCAUGAGUUUUAGCAAAUGACGUGCUAAUGAAUGAAUGAGAUGCGCCUGUAUCAAACACUGCUAUAGCUCUAGUGUCUUUAAUCACAAUUAUACUUGCCACGACGUCGUCGGAUGUUGCAGGUUGCUGCUCCUCCACCUGAGCGGCAAAGACUCGGCCGCUAGGCGCUCUCGAUCCCUUCGGCUAACGCGGUGAUGACGCGCGCCCAGCCGACAUCGCUGGUGGUAACCCCACAAGCUGUCUCGGGGUAGACGGUGCUGAUGCCGCCGUCAGCGCAGAUGACGUCCAGCUCGGGCACUCCCGGAUAAGAUGUCUCGGUUGGCCACACUUGUAACACUUGCUAUCGCGCUGCGGGCAAGUCGACACUCGGUGCUCUCCGCCACAAAUGACGCACCGAGGUGGUCUCCAAUUCCUCGACUGCUGUCGGGGAUACCGAGGGGGUUUCUUAGCAUUUGGCCAGCCCCCGGCACCGCCCGCCGUUCGCUUCUUGCCUUUAUCCUUUGACUCGGCCAUAGCCUCCCUUUCUUCACGUACAUGGGCGCUACCGUGCUCUGCCCACAAAGCUCUAUCGAAGACCUCGGCAAAGGUCGUCAGCUUCAGAAUCUGCACCUUUUCAUAUAUCCUAGGCUGGAGUCCUCGCAAGAACCAAUCAGCCUUGUCCCGAUCAUCUCUAACAACGUCAGGAACGCAGUCGAUAAUGUGGGAGAACUCUUGCUCAUAUUCUCCCACCGAUCAGUCGCCCUGUCGCAACUUGCGAAACUUCUCUUGCAACCUCCGCUUCACCAUGUCGGGGAAGUAGUUCGCAAAGACUGCUCUCUUGAACUCCUCCCAAAGCAUAAGCGGAAGAUCGGUAGGUCGAUCUCGCUUAACUCGCUUCCACCACACCAUCGCCACUUUCUCUAGACAAUGGGUGGCGAGGUACACUUUGUCCUUCUUCGAGGUAUUGAGAUCCACGAAGAGCGUCUCCAUUAAGUCGAUCCACGACUCCACAACCGUCGGCUCCACCAAACCGCCCUCGAAGGUAGGUAGGUUGAACUUCUUGAACUGAAUGAGAGCCGCCAACGUGCGCUCUCGCUCCGCCUCUACCAUCGCGUUAUCGGGAUUUGAGGUUCCCGACCUGGCCGGUACUAUCGUAACUGGCACAGUCGCUGCUGCCGCCGCUCCCUCGUCUACACUCGGCACUACCGCAGGGGGCACGACAUGUGUAACAUACCAGAUUUUGGUAUAAAAAUAAAAAUAAAUAAAAAUAGUGCGAGAAACUAUUUUUAUUGGAUUUAUAGAAGUAAAACACAAGUCAGAAGUGACUUGUGUUAAAAUCGGAAUGAAAACAGAAGAUCUAGAAUUUUCUGUUGGAAACGGGACAGAUAAAUUAGCAGAAAAUGCACAGUCUCAGAAAAUUAUGAAAAUUGGAGAAUAAGUCAGAAAUAUUUUUAUGAGGCUAGAUUUAAAGUUUCAUAUUUUUCUGAUACCCGUAGAGUGAGAAAUAAAAUUCGAGAGUUAUCUGAUAAAGAUUACAGUUCGGUACAGUUUUCAGUGACCAAACGGGGUCGAAACUGAAAACUUAAGAUAUAUUCUUACUCAGUACGUUAAACCGAGCCUGCCUGUCAAAUUUGAGCCCAAACGGACAUUCAGAAGGGCUCCGACUGUUCCGAACUGCUAAACUGCCCUGGAGUGAAUAGUGUUGGAGUGUGUAGUUAUUAAAGAAGUUGAUGCUUCUUCUUCCUCAACCGGCUAGCCCACCCCACCACUCACGCACGCAUGGUGGGAGAGGGAAAACCCUCCCUUCUCUCUCUAGAUUUUUCUUUCAUCUCUCCAAAUCUCUCGCUCAAAUUCGCGGCGUUGGCGGAGAAGAUGCUUGCGAACGCGUUGGGAGCGACGGAUCGAGCUUUCGUGCGGCCGUUGGAGCGGUGUUCUUUAGUUACGGCGUUCACAUUGUGGUAAGCUUUUGGAAUUUGGCUUAAUCCUUCACAUUAAGUGUUCUACUAGCCUCUAAUAAGCAUUGUUAGCAUGUUGCUCCAUUUAAUUUGGAUUAUUUGGAGGUUAAUUCAUGUUAGGGCUCACAAAUGGAGUUUUGUAAAAUAUGAGGGUUUGAUCUCAUUUGACCCUCUAUAGACCUAAUUGCUAGGUAAACGAACGUGUUGGCGAAGUCGGUUCGGCGAUUCGUCGAGCCGUUGUGAUGUUAUUAAAGAAACGGACGUUUAGGCUUCGUUUCCGCCUGGAGGGCCGAGGCGACAUCGUAAACUCAUGAAAAUGGAUUUGAAGCACCGUGGCACAUAACCGAAGAACUUUAAUUUCCGGAUCGUGGAUUGGAGGCCGUUCGGGUGGUCGCGCGAGGGAUCGGGCCAAACCGGGUGCCAGGUGCCGCGGGAGGCCGAUUGCAAGUGUCGACAAGCAAUCGAAAUGCAAAAUGAGGUAGGUUGUGUUUACCGAAGCGACUAGGUCGCCUCUAUGUCUAAGAGAAAUGGUUUCGUAUUGAUGCAUAUAAUAGUAGCUAAUGGUAAAUUAUGUGAAUGCAUGAAGUGAAUGCUAAGUAGGCUACCAAAGAAUGCAUGAGGAUAUAGUGGGAAUGAUGCUAGUUAAAAGUAUGAGAUAAAUGACAUUUGCAUGUUAACAUAAAGUAGAGAACAUGCUAGUUGUAAAGUAUAAUGAUAAGUUGUAAAGAAUGCUAGUUUGGAUAAGCAUGUUAUAUAAAUGCUAGAUAAUGCAUGUUAAUUAUCUAAAGUAACAUGCUAAGAGAAUGCACAUUGAGUGACAUAAUGUUAGUGUUAGAUGAUGCAAGUUAACAUGUAGAGGUUUAUAUUAAUAGAAAUGUGCAUAUGGACAAUCU
RNAcentral lists this long non-coding RNA (9433 nucleotides) under Ananas comosus (pineapple). RNAcentral describes it as "long non-coding RNA (ACOM_LNC023283)". The record is from RNAcentral. Lineage: Eukaryota; Viridiplantae; Streptophyta; Magnoliopsida; Poales; Bromeliaceae.